This 29-nucleotide non-coding RNA is filed under the name Rattus norvegicus (Norway rat). The record is from RNAcentral. Lineage: Eukaryota; Metazoa; Chordata; Mammalia; Rodentia; Muridae.
UUCAGUACCACAUCGAACAUUGAGCACUU